AAGGAUAGGAUUGCAUGCGUGAGAUUACCCUGCAGAGUUAAGUAAAGGUAUAGAUUAAUUGGUUAGACUGGGAAAAAAAUCUUCCAAGAAUCAGUCUAGAUUACUAAUUAGUGGUUAUAGCUGGAAGUCACUGAAUAUGAGCAAGAUUGGUGUUAGUUGUGAUGUCCCAAGGUGGAAGGCUGGUCACCACAUUCUAAAUUCCCACAAGAAGGAUUAUCAUUCAGGCUAGUCAAGAGAGGGCAUUUAUAGUUAGUUUCAGGAGAAGGAUGAGAUAAAUCAGAUUAGGAGAAAAACUCCAGAGCCCGUAAAGGGGAUUAUACUAUUUUAUUGCCAUUAGGAAAAGAGAACACUGAAGAAAUUCAAACUGAUAAAGAGCCUGAGUAGAUACUCAGCAGAUCAUACAAUUGCAGAGGAGAAGGUGCUGAAAGUGAGAACACUGUCCGUUGAAGUCCGAGAUGUUUAAAAAUCUUCUGCAAGCUUCUUGUUUCAGUCUGGAAUGUGCCACAAUGACAUAGUGAUGCUGGUGUUUUGUCAAUGUGAGCAGACAUGAAGCCACUAACUGCCUAUGACGAAUGCCCUGACGUGUUGGGGGACAGUGGUCAAGGUGCAUGCUGGGAGAAAAUGCCAGUGAGCUGCAGCUUCUAAAUGCCACUUCUAAACUUCAAAUUGGGAAUUAGUGCCAUCUAAUUUCUCUCUGCUACCUCAGAAACCAGGAACUGGCAUAGGAAUGACACAAGAUUAGGUUUGCCCACCAGGGAGAGGAGGAAGAAUGAUGUGGCUAAAUACGCAAAGACUUCCAUGGAUUCCAGCAAGACCUACAUUGGCAGCAAUGAUUGGAGAAUACAAUUGAGUGUGAAGAGCACGUGUGGAUGGAAGUCCACAGCUUCAUAGAAUCUUCUCUGGAACCAAUGGAUGAUGCAAUAAAGGCAAGAGAAAGAAGUCGAGGGAAUGGGUGGAGGAGGUCAGCAGCCUCACCAAAUAGGUGUGGUUACAAAUCACACACUCUGUCAGCAACCAAUUUAUGGUGCUGAGAACUUGGAUCAAAAACAAAGGUUAACUGACCUCAUGAGAUCUGGCAAGGUACUUGUCCUACAACUUGCAGGCAUCAUUCUUUUGCCUCUCCAUAAUUCUCUUGAAAUGCCCUCCUCUGACUGACAUGUCUUGCUACACAUUUCUGUCUCUCCAAUCUCUUCCUCACAUGUCCACCUCAGCAGACAGCACACAUAUUCAACCUCAAAGUAUUGCCUUCAUACUCCCAUCACCCUCCUCAAAUAUUUACAUUCCUUCCUAGUUAUCAGUUCAUUUUUACAUUCUUAACUCUAAAUUUCUGCAUUAGGAAAAGAGAGCCCACUACCCACAAAGAGGUGAAGAAUUAGGGAUGAAAUUGCAGCAAUGACCUUGUUAACCACAAUGGAGGAGGAAACAAAGUGGAACUAGUACAGACAGUUGGUGAUGGAGUGAUAAGAUGACUCAGAGGCUUUGUGACAGCAUUACAUAUCACAGUGCACUUAGCACUUUGGUGUCAAUUAUGUUGAAAUGAAUGUCACUAAUACAUUAAAUGUCAUGAUCUGCACUAUGAAAAACUUUGUAUACUAUUGCACUUAGACACAAAUUGUUGCUGAAUUUUUCAUUAUCCUGGCACAUUGAUGAUGCUGGUGGAAAAAAAUGCCUGGAAACAUGGUUCGGAGUUGCCAGUGUUGGACUGGGGUGUACAAUGUUAAAAAUCACACAACACCAGGUUACAGAACAAC
Non-coding RNA from Chiloscyllium plagiosum (whitespotted bambooshark), 1751 nucleotides. NCBI's taxonomy places the organism in Eukaryota, Metazoa, Chordata, Chondrichthyes, Orectolobiformes, Hemiscylliidae. The record is from RefSeq and is a predicted model, not a curated record.